UACAGAGGUCCCAAGCGUUGUCCGGAUUUAUUGGGCGUAAAGAGCUCGUAGGCGGUUUGGCAAGUCGGGUGUGAAAACUCCGGGCUCAACUCGGAGACGCCACUCGAUACUGCCAUGACUCGAGUCCGGUAGGGGAGUGCGGAAUUCCUGGUGUAGCGGUGAAAUGCGCAGAUAUCAGGAGGAACACCGGUGGCGAAGGCGGCACUCUGGGCCGGUACUGACGCUGAGGAGCGAAAGCGUGGGGAGCGAACAGG
Molecule: ribosomal RNA, 254 nt
Filed under: uncultured bacterium
Lineage: Bacteria
Description: partial 16S ribosomal RNA
Rfam family: Bacterial small subunit ribosomal RNA
Source: RNAcentral